AUUAAGCCAUGCAGGCCUCAGAAGUAGUAGCUAGAUCCGAAAUCUGCGGGAGGCUCCGUAUAUCUGUUAUAACCCUCCGCCCGGACUCGACUACGGAUAUCCCAUGGUAAUUCUUAGGCUAAUACGUGCAUCGACGAGCUGCCAGUGCGGGAUACCCGGUUCACCCCGGUUUCCCCCCGGUGCGGCUCGGGGCUUGCACGCCCUACCAAGGCCCCUCUAGAGGGUGCGGCGGGAAGGCGGGCAAGCGUGCCAUACCGUCCCUGCGGCGGUAUGGGCGAUGGACACCAGACCUAUCAACCUAGGUGCCGGGGCGAGCCCAGCACCGGUGAUAACGGGUACAGAGGAUCAGGGUUCGGUCCUGGAGAGGUAGCCUUAGAGAUCGCUACUACUUCUAAGGAAGGCAGCAGGCGCGCAACGUUCCCCAUGGGCACGCUCCCCCUGAGGACGUGACGGGGCAUAGCAACGCGGUACCGGAAAUCGGUUCUGUGAUUGCAAUGGGGCGGACUCAGAUCCCCCACCGAGUAACGAUUGGAGGACAAGUCUGGUGCCAGCACCCGCGGUAAUUCCAGCUCCAAUGGCAUCUCGUUAAAUUGCUGCAGUUAAAACGCUCGUAGUCAGGGUAGGGUGCGGCCUGGGGACCUAGUACGCUGGGGAUAAUACGUCUGGGCUGGUCUGUGGAGGCUUGGAGGGUAGACUAUUUGCACUGACCCUCCCCCCAUGCCAGUAACCCGGCACCCCCACUGGAAUGGCCUUGCCAGGUCCACCUACGAUGCCCUGAAGAAGGGGGAAUUGGGCUUCACUGCCCGUCCCCUGGACCAGGGCAGCAUACCUUGAAUAAAUUCGAGCGCUUAAUGCAGGUCCCACCGGACCAAUCAUGGAGGUCUCAGCAAGGAAUAUCAGAACAGGGGUCGUCCUGGUCCCUUGGUGCUAGGGCGACUAAUGAUCGAUAGGGGGGAUCGGGGUGGGCCACAUGGCGGGGGUAGGGGUGAAAUCCGAUGAUCCCCGCCAGGUGAACGAAGGCGAAAGCAGCCCACCAGUACUCUUCCUUUGAUCAAGAACGAAAGUCUGGGGAUCGAAGACGAUCAGAUACCGUCGUAGUCCAGACUAUAAACUGUGCCGACACGGGGUAGGCCGGCGUCCCUACUCGACCCGGCCCGGACCAUGGAGGGGAAACCAUAGUCCGGCUCCGGGGGGAGUAUGGUCGCAAGACUGAAACUUAAAGGAAUUG
This 1228-nucleotide ribosomal RNA is filed under the name Hemitrichia calyculata. RNAcentral's name for it is "SSU rRNA". It matches the Rfam family "Eukaryotic small subunit ribosomal RNA", at positions 43 to 1155 of the family's 1831-position model. The record is from RNAcentral. Lineage: Eukaryota; Evosea; Eumycetozoa; Trichiida; Trichiidae.